CAGGCCGACUAAAGAUGGCUUCCAAUUCGUUCCGUAUUCGAAACCAGCGAGUUAUUUAGAAAAAUACAAGUGCUGUAUCAGACUCUGUGGAAGACCUCAUCAACAGCUGAACUUGGAAAUUUUGAAAGAUCGUUCAAAGGCGAAACAUCUAUACGUCUGUACAAAACACUUUGUCGACGGGAAAUCCAAUCAAGAAAACCCUGACCCUCAAGCAGCUACUGUAUUUGUCCAGCUCACACCAGCUAGGCCUCCUCCAAAACUCAGAUAAAUAUUUGAGCCACCAAAAAAAAACGAGAACAGAUCGGUCUGAAUCGUUAAGAACUGAAGCUAACAUCAUAGAGGUACAUCCUUCCAAGAAUCCAUCAAAACAACAUGCUGAACAACUUCAAGAACUCUCUUCAAAAGACCACACUUUCCUGAAAUAAAUAAAAGAUGCCAAUAUUAAAAUAAAUCAGUUACAUGUAUUGUUAAAUAUUUUAAUACUAGCUGUAAAUGCUACUGCCUUUGAUGUUUGCUUCCUACAUGUAUAUCAUAAUGAAAUAUUGACAAGAUAAUAGCUAAUGUUU
Molecule: long non-coding RNA, 566 nt
Organism: Mya arenaria
Lineage: Eukaryota; Metazoa; Mollusca; Bivalvia; Myida; Myidae
Exons: 3
Source: RefSeq, a predicted model, not a curated record